Non-coding RNA from Parelaphostrongylus tenuis, 72 nucleotides. The record is from the annotation of a GenBank genome assembly. Lineage: Eukaryota; Metazoa; Nematoda; Chromadorea; Rhabditida; Metastrongylidae.
GCGUCAGUAGUGCAAUAGUUAUCAAACGCUUCCGGAAAGAGUGAGAUCUGGGUUCGAAUCCCGGCUGACGCA